This is a non-coding RNA of Pantherophis guttatus, 376 nucleotides long. NCBI's taxonomy places the organism in Eukaryota, Metazoa, Chordata, Lepidosauria, Squamata, Colubridae. The record is from RefSeq and is a predicted model, not a curated record.
GUCUUCUCAGCUUCCAGCCAGGUUUUGGAAGCCGCAGAAGAAGCCAUUCUCAGUGCUGGAUGGCGGCGGCGCAGUCUCCCCAUGUGGGGCUUCAACUCCCUUUGUCUUUCAACGCCUCUCUGCCCCGGCUGCCGGAAGACUCUCUGCCCUGGCUGCCAGAAGACCUGGCAGCAGGCGGCUGACCCAACCGGUGUCUUCCCCGUUUCCAGCAGCUUCCAGCUGGGUGCUCACUGGCUUCGCCCACAUCAACAUGAAUCACAGAAUUGUCAAACUGGAAGAACCUCAAGGAUCAUUUAGUCUAACCCUCUGCAGUCUGCAGAAAGCAAGUUCGUGUCAGGUUUCAAUGUCAUCUCAAAUAAAUUGCACUCCCAAACAA